UUUCUUAUUUCAACAUUAAUCUUAAUAAAAUUAUUAAAUCUGUUCUUAUCACUUUAAUAUCUGAUACGUCCUCUAUCUGAGGACUAUACAUUAAAUGGGUUUUUGGAACAGGGAGAUGGAAUAGGAGCUUGUUCCAUCCACUCCACGCAUCGACCUGGUAUUGCAGUACCUCCAGGAACGGUGCACCUCCC
This 191-nucleotide small nuclear RNA is filed under the name Chelonia mydas (Green sea turtle). RNAcentral's name for it is "U2 spliceosomal RNA". It matches the Rfam family "U2 spliceosomal RNA". From Rfam's summary of the family: U2 is a small nuclear RNA (snRNA) component of the spliceosome (involved in pre-mRNA splicing). Complementary binding between U2 snRNA (in an area lying towards the 5' end but 3' to hairpin I) and the branchpoint sequence (BPS) of the intron results the bulging out of an unpaired adenosine, on the BPS, which initiates a nucleophilic attack at the intronic 5' splice site, thus starting the first of two transesterification reactions that mediate splicing. The record is from Rfam by way of RNAcentral. Lineage: Eukaryota; Metazoa; Chordata; Testudines; Cheloniidae.